UGCAUCGUGGAAAUUCUAGAUUGAAAGAACACUUUCUGUUUGUUCAAGAAUCAAGAGAAAUAAACCAAUGGCUCCAGAGAAGACCUAUUUGCAGAAUCCUGGCUGUUCACCUGCCACAGAGAAGAGCCGCGGGAAGUGCCUGGCUGGGAGUAGACCUAGAACCCGUGGGUGAAAAUGUAGACAGAUUCUGGACAUGAGAUGCUGUGAGGAGGCAGCUGGACUUUCAGGAGGGGAAAAUCCCUUCCCUUUCCAACUGCUCUUCUGACAACUGCUUCCCUGUAAUCUCAGAGCCCAGUGAACCCUCCAGGCAUCAGAAGCAGGGUCUGGGUGGCAGUGGGGGCUUCCAGGGCUUCCAGAAGCCCUGAUUUGAGAAGGGAUCGGGAAGAAUCUCAGAACAGAGACCGUUGCAAAUGCAGUUUCUAGAAUUCACCCAGAGCUUCUUGGGAAGAGAUAAGAAUGGUGAG
Molecule: long non-coding RNA, 464 nt
Filed under: Ursus maritimus (polar bear)
Lineage: Eukaryota; Metazoa; Chordata; Mammalia; Carnivora; Ursidae
Description: lncRNA (ENSUMAG00000014070.1)
Source: RNAcentral